AGUGAGCGCUGGCGGUAGGCCUAACACAUGCAAGUCGAACGGCAGCACAGUAAGAGCUUGCUCUUACGGGUGGCGAGUGGCGGACGGGUGAGGAAUACAUCGGAAUCUACUUUUUCGUGGGGGAUAACGUAGGGAAACUUACGCUAAUACCGCAUACGACCUACGGGUGAAAGCAGGGGAUCUUCGGACCUUGCGCGAUUGAAUGAGCCGAUGUCGGAUUAGCUAGUUGGCGGGGUAAAGGCCCACCAAGGCGACGAUCCGUAGCCGGUCUGAGAGGAUGAUCAGCCACACUGGAACUGAGACACGGUCCAGACUCCUACGGGAGGCAGCAGUGGGGAAUAUUGGACAAUGGGCGCAAGCCUGAUCCAGCCAUACCGCGUGGGUGGAGAAGGCCUUCGGGUUGUAAAGCCCUUUUGUUGGGAAAGAAAAGCAGCAGGUUAAUACCCCGCUGUUCUGACGGUACCCAAAGAAUAAGCACCGGCUAACUUCGUG
RNAcentral lists this ribosomal RNA (492 nucleotides) under uncultured bacterium. RNAcentral describes it as "partial 16S ribosomal RNA". It matches the Rfam family "Bacterial small subunit ribosomal RNA", at positions 29 to 507 of the family's 1533-position model. The record is from RNAcentral.